GGAGCUUUAAACCUGACAGCACCCGCUCAUUCUAUACCCCAUUAUUUGCCCGACCCCUGUCUGCUCAGUUUUAGGUUGGGGUGACCACGGAGUAUAAAAUAACCUCCAUGAAGAAGGGGAUAUUUCCCUUAUUAGAGAACCACACUUCCAAGAACUAAUAAAUUAAUUUUCAAUGACCCGAUACCCGAUAAUCGAUCAACGAACCAAGUUACCCUGGGGAUAACAGCGCAAUCCACCCUGAAAGCCCUUAUUAACAGGUGGGUUUACGACCUCGAUGUUGGAUCAGGGUAUCCCAGUGGUGCAGCAGCUACUGAGGGUUCGUUUGUUCAACGAUUAAAACCCU
Molecule: ribosomal RNA, 343 nt
Filed under: Boophis quasiboehmei
Lineage: Eukaryota; Metazoa; Chordata; Amphibia; Anura; Mantellidae
Description: partial 16S ribosomal RNA
Rfam family: Bacterial large subunit ribosomal RNA
Source: RNAcentral